This is a long non-coding RNA of Jaculus jaculus (lesser Egyptian jerboa), 180 nucleotides long. RefSeq lists it as uncharacterized. The record is from RefSeq and is a predicted model, not a curated record. The transcript is spliced from 3 exons. Lineage: Eukaryota; Metazoa; Chordata; Mammalia; Rodentia; Dipodidae.
GACAAGGAAGGCACGAAUAUUGUCGUCCAUCAUGAACAUAUUUCAACGAAAUAGGACAAACCGUCAGGAGAACCAUCCCAGUGAUGAGCGUGAGGAAGAAGGGCCGCGUCGACAGCAGCGAGCAGGACAUCAUGCACGCAGGCUGAGACGUCUAUGUCAAAAUGUAUUUUGCUGUGUCAA